GAUGAACGCUGGCGGCGUGCCUAAUACAUGCAAGUCGAGCGAACGGACGAGAAGCUUGCUUCUCUGAUGUUAGCGGCGGACGGGUGUGUAACACGUGGUUAACCUACCUAUAAGACUUGGAUAACUUCGGGAAACCGGAGCUAAUACCGGAUGAUAUUUUGAACCGCAUGGUUCAAAAGUGAAAGACGGUCUUUCUGUCACUUAUAGAUGGAUCCGCGCUGCAUUAGCUAGUUGGUAAGGUAACGGCUUACCAAGGCAACGAUGCAUAGCCGACCUGAUAGGGUGAUCGGCCACACUGGAAGAGAGACACGGUCCAGACUCCUAGGGGAGGAAGCAGUAGGGAAUAUUCCGGAAUGGGCGAAAGCCUAACGGAGAAACGCCGAGUGAGUGAUGAAGGUGUUGGGAUCGUAAAACUCUGUUAUUAGGGAAGAACAGAAGCGUAAGUAACUGUGGACAUAUUGACGGUACCUAAUAAGAAAGCCACGGCUAACUACGUG
This 497-nucleotide ribosomal RNA is filed under the name uncultured bacterium. Its description in RNAcentral is "partial 16S ribosomal RNA". It matches the Rfam family "Bacterial small subunit ribosomal RNA", at positions 28 to 507 of the family's 1533-position model. The record is from RNAcentral.